UCUCCCCAACAGGAGACAACAUCUGAUUUUUCUGUCAGUGCCUGCAAUUUAUUAGGCUUACAAGGAUUUGUGGAAGAAAAGUUAAAUGAGAAUCAGAAUUACUGGUUUCAAAUAUCUGCAGAGCUUUCACAUGAAAAAAAAUCACUGGAUGAUUCCAGAAGGAAACCAUGGGCUAGAGAAGAUGCAGUGAGACAAUUCUACCAGAUCUCAGGGACCUGAUGGCAAGAGCCAUGCCCGACCUGCUCACCACAACCCUGGAACGUCUGAGCGUGUAACUAGCGAAAGGGAAGGUCAUGUCCUCCUGAGGCUGGAGAAACACCCGCCUCCCCUGUGGACACCCCAAAUCUCGGCAGACUCAAAAAGGCGGCCCAGACAGAGGUGGAGUUGGGAGGCACCAAUGACACACUCUCAGCCUUCAGAGAGGCCAAUCCCCGCGCCACGUCUCUGCUUCCCCCAGCAACACAAGGUCUCCCCCUCAGGGUAAGUUUAAUGAGCCAAUGCUGGGAAUGAAAAUAAGGGAGCCCAGUUUCCAAGA
Long non-coding RNA from Talpa occidentalis (Iberian mole), 535 nucleotides. RefSeq lists it as uncharacterized. The record is from RefSeq and is a predicted model, not a curated record. Lineage: Eukaryota; Metazoa; Chordata; Mammalia; Eulipotyphla; Talpidae. The transcript has 3 exons.